AGCCUCGCGAGAGUCUGUCUGGAGGAAGCCCGAGUGCAAAGCUGUGAGCCGACGAACAGAAAUGGCAUAUAAGGCCCAGUCCGCGGGUAAGUUAGCACAACAUAACGAAGCCCCGGGUUCAGUGGAUAGGGUAAAUGCCGCGGUUGUGCAGCGACAGUUCACGUU
This 165-nucleotide non-coding RNA is filed under the name Desulfosarcina cetonica. Lineage: Bacteria; Pseudomonadati; Thermodesulfobacteriota; Desulfobacteria; Desulfobacterales; Desulfosarcinaceae. The record is from RNAcentral.